Molecule: ribosomal RNA, 492 nt
Filed under: uncultured bacterium
Lineage: Bacteria
Description: partial 16S ribosomal RNA
Rfam family: Bacterial small subunit ribosomal RNA
Source: RNAcentral
AUUGAACGCUGGCGGCAUGCUUUACACAUGCAAGUCGAACGGUAACAGGCCUUCGGGUGCUGACGAGUGGCGAACGGGUGAGUAAUGCAUCGGAACGUACCCAGAGGUGGGGGAUAACGCAGCGAAAGCUGUGCUAAUACCGCAUGUGAUCUGAGGAUGAAAGCGGGGGACCGAGCAGCAAUGUUUGGCCUCGCGCCUUUGGAGCGGCCGAUGUCGGAUUAGCUAGUUGGUGGGGUAAAGGCCUACCAAGGCGACGAUCCGUAGCUGGUCUGAGAGGACGACCAGCCACACUGGGACUGAGACACGGCCCAGACUCCUACGGGAGGCAGCAGUGGGGAAUUUUGGUCAAUGGGCGCAAGCCUGAUCCAGCAAUGCCGCGUGCGGGAAGAAGGCCUUCGGGUUGUAAACCGCUUUUGGCAGGAACGAAACGGUGUCCGCUAAUACCGGGCGCUAAUGACGGUACCUGCAGAAUAAGCACCGGCUAACUACGUG